Rhincodon typus (whale shark) is the source of this 1388-nucleotide long non-coding RNA. RefSeq lists it as uncharacterized. The transcript is spliced from 2 exons. The record is from RefSeq and is a predicted model, not a curated record. NCBI's taxonomy places the organism in Eukaryota, Metazoa, Chordata, Chondrichthyes, Orectolobiformes, Rhincodontidae.
GGGACUAGGAGCUGCAAUUGACUCCCCUCUGUUUCUCACCCUUGACCCCAUUGAAAUGAUGGCCUGAUGGCCCCGAACUCCUCAACUAGAUCCAUUUCCCACAACCCAGUCAAUCCCAAGCGGCUCGUCAUCCAUUUGAGACCAGCCCGGGUUGUUAUUGAAUUGCGCUGUGUAUGGUUGUUCCCCUUUCGAGCUCACUUCCCCACAGCAAGGCCUACUCUCCUCCAUCUCGGCCUUGCUCCUGACCAGCUGAGUGAGAAUCAGUCUGGGAGAAGGGGAGAGACCAUAUGUGUUUGGAAUUCCGAUUCAUCCAGACCUACCUCAGGAGCUGACCGUCUAACGGAAGGUGAGGGGCGGAUAACCGGAAUGAAUAGACCCAGGGAGGUCUCAGGCCUGAGGUUCCUGCGCUGGAUGACGGCGUAGCCCUUUUGUCAACAACCAGCCAAUAGCAAACCGCUUGCGGCUCGUAGAAAGGAUUGCGACAGGUCGAUAGACGUUGAAGGAGACGGAGUUUGAGAUAAACAGGGCAACUCUCAACGGCUUCCUGCAAUGGAAUACUUCCUACUGCCUGUCGAGAGACAGGAUGUUUCCAGGAACGGAUGGAGAACAGGAGAGAUCAAACACUCACCAGAGGAAACCUCGUCUGAAGCAUUUGCAAAUCGUCAUAGCCGUACACCUGAGGCUGGGACAAAGAGAAUGUUAACAGAAUUCGCCCAGGGACAAGCCCAAGUUACCAUUCAACUCAACUCUGUUGGCAGUGAGGAAAGAGGCCAAGACAACAGGGUACCUGCCUCCUGCCUCACUCUUACAAUCUGUCUGAUUCAGGGGCAGCGCUGCGGAUGUCAAGUGGAUGGGGAGGGGGCCUGCAGAGAUGGCGCGAGCGAGCGAGAGGGAGAGACUGACACAAGACAGACAGAGAUGCUGGAUGACCUCCAUCUAAAUCCUCCUGUCUAUCAGACCACAUCCAAUGGCCCGGCCUCAAUCAGAUGAUACCAAAGGGUCAACCGAACGCCACCUAGCGCUGGUCUUCAGUGCCAGCCUUCACUGCUUAAAAACGGAAAGGGGGAAACCAGAGCAGCAACCCCUGGAUUCGACUUUCUAGUUGCUAUUACAGAGGUUAUUUGCAGGACGGGCCCUUGCUCAGGAAUCAGGAGAUUGUGUAUCGGCAUUGAAUGAGGGAACGGUAUCACCAGCUGGUUCCUGUUUUACACAGCAGUGAUACCUAUGCACAUGCUGUUAGUUAUUUUUAGAAACACGUUCCUCACCUGGUAUGCGGGAAGCAGUCCUGGUGCCACAAUGUAUGGGUUAGGCAGCAAUGGUGGAACCCCUGGGGGAAGAUUGGGAGGAGCCUUCCCUGAAAAUCAUUACCAUUAAAUGUUAACAUUUAA